This 157-nucleotide small nucleolar RNA is filed under the name Ananas comosus (pineapple). RNAcentral describes it as "Small nucleolar RNA snoR2/U65". It matches the Rfam family "Small nucleolar RNA snoR2/U65". The record is from Rfam by way of RNAcentral. Lineage: Eukaryota; Viridiplantae; Streptophyta; Magnoliopsida; Poales; Bromeliaceae.
GGCCUAAUGCCACGUUGCUGGUAGCUAUGAUUGCAGUGACCAGUAAUGCUAUGAUUAGGCCUAGAGUAAAUCACUAGUUGAUAUUUCGCUGUUUGAUAGGAACCUGUGGAUCAGUUUGAAUUGUUUAUCCACGGAGCCGGUUUAUGCGAUUACAUUA